This 576-nucleotide ribosomal RNA is filed under the name uncultured Bacteroidota bacterium. RNAcentral describes it as "bacterial SSU rRNA". It matches the Rfam family "Bacterial small subunit ribosomal RNA", at positions 338 to 916 of the family's 1533-position model. Lineage: Bacteria; Pseudomonadati; Bacteroidota. The record is from RNAcentral.
CCUACGGGAGGCAGCAGUGAGGAAUAUUGGACAAUGGAGGAGACUCUGAUCCAGCCAUGCCGCGUGUAGGAAGAAUGCCCUAUGGGUUGUAAACUACUUUUAUACAGGAAGAAACACUGGUAUGUAUACCAGCUUGACGGUACUGUAAGAAUAAGGACCGGCUAACUCCGUGCCAGCAGCCGCGGUAAUACGGAGGGUCCAAGCGUUAUCCGGAAUCAUUGGGUUUAAAGGGUCCGCAGGCGGUCAAUUAAGUCAGAGGUGAAAUCCCAUAGCUUAACUAUGGAACUGCCUUUGAUACUGGUUGACUUGAGUCAUAUGGAAGUAGAUAGAAUGUGUAGUGUAGCGGUGAAAUGCAUAGAUAUUACACAGAAUACCGAUUGCGAAGGCAGUCUACUACGUAUGUACUGACGCUCAUGGACGAAAGCGUGGGGAGCGAACAGGAUUAGAUACCCUGGUAGUCCACGCCGUAAACGAUGGAUACUAGUUGUUGGGAUUUAUCUCAGUGACUAAGCGAAAGUGAUAAGUAUCCCACCUGGGGAGUACGGUCGCAAGACUGAAACUCAAAGGAAUUGACGG